This 83-nucleotide transfer RNA is filed under the name uncultured Treponema sp. It matches the Rfam family "tRNA". From Rfam's summary of the family: Transfer RNA (tRNA) molecules are approximately 80 nucleotides in length. Their secondary structure includes four short double-helical elements and three loops (D, anti-codon, and T loops). The record is from RNAcentral. Lineage: Bacteria; Pseudomonadati; Spirochaetota; Spirochaetia; Treponematales; Treponemataceae.
GAGCGAUGGCAGAGUGGUCGAACGCGGCGGUCUUGAAAACCGUUAUACCGCAAGGUAUCGGGGGUUCAAAUCCCUCUCGCUCC